Molecule: long non-coding RNA, 3405 nt
Organism: Oncorhynchus tshawytscha (Chinook salmon)
Lineage: Eukaryota; Metazoa; Chordata; Actinopteri; Salmoniformes; Salmonidae
Source: Ensembl
GAGAGAGAGAGAGGGGGAGCGAGAGAGAGAGAGGGGGAGAGGGGGAGAGAGAGAGGACAGGUCAAACAGAGGGGUCGAAGGGAAUGACUUAAUGAAAAGGCGACUAAGAAAAUGGGAAUAUACAGAGAAAAAGAAAGAUGGAGGAGAGGUUAUGGAGGGCUGAGCAAGAAGGGAUGAGUAAACAAGAGGGAACCGAUCUCAAUCAUCUGACUGAGGCUAUUAGGGAGCAUAUUGGGCACUUAGUCUGAUCACCAACCAAGUUACUACUUCUACAGUACCCCAGAUGGUAAUGCUGCAGUGUGUGUUAGUGUCUGCGUGCAUGCAUGCAAGUGUGCUUGUCUUCUAAUCACUCUCCCAGUCACCCUAAGAGUCAAUUUCAGUGAUCCAUUUGAGCUCCCAGUCAGUCAGACAAACAGCCUAUGUAAAAAUGAUAUGAUGAAGGUUAUCAAGUUCCCAUUGGUAGUGGGUGAAUGUAGGAGGCAGCAGAAUGGAAAAGAGGAAAAUACAGGGAAAAGAAUGGGGUGAAGUGACAAGGUGCCUCUGAUGGCCUACCAUAGAAAGAACGAGAGGAAGAAAGGUUAUUGGACUGCUACCUUCCAGAGCCAGGAGUGUCAUGACAGAGAGGGUGGUCUGUUAUUCAUCUGUUCCUUUAGGGAGUAGAGCAUGUUUUAACCUUUGCCACCACAACCACAAGGUUAAAUAGUCCCCUACAUCCCUGAGCAUUUCAAUUCUAUUCUUGUGCUUUCACAAUCAGCUCUAUAGUUGAUAGAAGCUGCUUCACACAUGGACACACACACAUACAAACACACUGACACACAAACACACACUGACACACAAACACACACUGACACACACACACACACUGACACACACACACACACUCUGAUAACAGUCCUUUAACGUAGCUACAUACACAUUCUGUUUUCAUCUCAUCCUUUAUGUUCAAUUCAUCCAUAUCUCUUUUUUUAUCCACCUCACCUCUCAUCUCCUCUCCCUCUCCUCCACUCCCCUCUCUACUCCAUCUCCCCUCUCUCCUCCUCUCCUUCUCUACUUCUCUCCCUCUCCUCCUCUCCCCAUUUCCCCAUCUCCUGUAAUAUUUUAUGUUCUGUAAUCUAACCAUGUCUAGCUGGAUGUCUAGGUUUUCUGCUAGGGUGACCCAGGAUCUUUUCUUCUGGCUCUAGCAGAGGAACUGUUGCUGUAAAAUACAGUUUGCCGCUAUCGACCGAUCCCGCAACCAUGAUUUUCUUUCUGAAUAGGAGCUCAAAAACUUGUCGGGAACGGCGACAACAAAAAAAGAUGUAUUGUCUGUAAAGUAUUAUAAAAAAGAAAAAGAGCACAACAUCAGAAGUUUUGUAACAAUGAAAUUGUGGAAUUCUGAAUAUUUUUUUCCAUUUGUUGUUUUCAAUCUGGAUUUUCUUUAGAUGUACUGAAAGCUUUAAAGAUAUGUGUAGAUUUAUUGUACAGUGUGUAUGACCUUUAGAGCAUGUCCAACUGUUUUCAUACUAUGCCAAAAGACAAAAGAGAACUCAAGCACAGAGACUUUACAAAUUACAAGUCAAAAGAAGAAAAACAAAACAAAACCAGAGCCCUUAUUUCUCCUCUUUUACCGGACUGGGCACAAGAGAGGGUGUGGCCAGCUAUAGUUUUGGGGGAGGGGCAUGUGAGAAAGAGGAGGGGUUUAGUAAGCACAUGAGGGCAUGCCCACUAUUAAAAAAACAGCACAAAUUAAUCUAAACUGAAGCGAUGUCAAUGGCACAUCUGGGGGACAAUGUGGCUCUGUUGGACAUUAUGGGGACGUCUUUGAUCUGGUCAGAUAUUUUGUCUCUACUUGAUAUACUGGCUCUAUGGGACACACCAAAUCUGGAGGACAUUUUGAUCUGCCCGUUCUGCCAGUGGGCCAACAAGCAUAGUGAUGAGCAUUGCUCCUCAAGACACUGGAUUGGCUAUGUGUUUUAUCCUGGUUCUUUUUCCAGUACAGGACAGAGUGUGUGUCUGGACUGCAGCACCCACAGAGCUCCAGCUCCACGCAGCCAACUAUCCACAGAAACCUGCUCAGUCUCAGUCAGCCAUAGAGGCUGAGUCAGUGAGUCUCAGUUCACCAGGAGUCCUGCGUUGGUAACACAGAGCAGAGUCAGAGUCCAUCCACUCCUACAGUCAGCUAGUCUGCCUCUUCUACCACUACUCAGCUCUGAAGCCAAACAUCAAAGAACCAACCGUCUAAUCAUAUUAUCAAUGCAUUAUUAACACUCAUCACGUUACCAUGGAAACAGAAUUACAUGGGAGAGUUUGAUGACAACAAUUUGUGUUAGGGUAGAAGAUAAGAGAUGAUCAUUUCAUAGGGUUUCACAGAAGAGAGGAUUUCAAAGGGUGGUGUGCAAGUUAAAAUGGAUAAACGUAUAAAGUUGAAUGAGAUACUGGAAUGAGUCAGACUGAUGUCUUGAUGUGACUGACUGACCAGGAGGACAUUCAUUUCUCUUUCUGUGUGUCUGUGUGUGAGAGUGUGUAGGUUUGUGUGUAUGUGUGCGAUGUGUGUGUGCGUGUCUGUGUGUGAGAGAGAGAGAAAGGAACUGUAGGAAUUCAUCAAAGUAAAUGUGAUGCUUAUGUACAACUUGCCUCCCUGCUAUUUGUGUUGAUAACAGAGAGAUAUAAAUGAACCAUUAAGUCAUGUGAUAACUGAUUCCAUAGUGGCUCACGCCCUUCUGGUUAUGUGUUGAACUGGACUUCUCAUUUUAUCCCCGACUCCCCUUCUAAUGUAAAACCUUCAGCGACAAAUAGUGCACGUUAUACGUUUUAUCAACGUACUGUACACCCACACCAACCCCCACUUAGAAACCCCACAGUCAUUGUUCCAAAGCCCCCACCCCAACCUUUACUUCUUUCAUUUCCAGUCUGCUGUUACGAGCACCAUCCACCCUUCCUCCUCCCCGUUUAAAUUCUAGCAGGAUCUUGGCUCCAGCAGUCAAUGUGAUAGAGGAGUAUGAACAAAAGAGUUAUCCCUCGCUCCCUCUCAUUCCCUCUCUCCCUCUUAUUAUCAUCAGAAUCAGCAGAGUACUGAUCAAUCCGUCCGUUCUCGCACCCUCCAUCUCGGUCCUCCAUUUAUCCACUUUUCCAACACCAUCUCUCCUUCCCACAACCUUCUCUGUUCCCCCUCCAUUUUUAACACACUCUCCAUUCCCCUAACCCCUCCAUUUCCCCACCCUCCUUCAUCUAUCCAUUUCCCCACUCCUCCAUCCCUUCGUUCCCCCAACCCAACCUCUCUCAGCUCCCCACUCCCCUAAUCCCCAACAGAACCAACUCUCUUUUCAUUUUCUCUCGGUGAAGUAAUAUAGAUUGUUUUGCGGAAUCUUGAUACUGUGUUUUAAUGUCUUGUCAACAUUUAAUAAACAUCACAUUUUAUAAGUGAAA